CCCUUAGAUGUUCUGGGCGGCCCGCGCACUACAUUGGCACUAGCAAAGAGAUCCUAGAUUGAAUUCUUUGGGGUAUUCUUCUAAAUGGUGUCGUGACUGGGAUAAAUCCUUGUAAUUAUUGGUUUUGAACGAGGAAUUCCUUGUAAUCGCGGUUUAUCAGCUCGUGUUGAAUGCGUCCCUGCCCUUUGUACACACCGCCCGUCGCUCCUACCGAUGGAUCGUCCGGUGAAGCUCACGGAGUGACUGUUCACGCAACGGUUUACGAAGUGAAAUGGACCUCACGAUUUAGAGGAAGGAGAAGUCGUAACA
This 309-nucleotide ribosomal RNA is filed under the name uncultured eukaryote. RNAcentral's name for it is "partial 18S ribosomal RNA". It matches the Rfam family "Eukaryotic small subunit ribosomal RNA", at positions 1470 to 1796 of the family's 1831-position model. The record is from RNAcentral.